AUGUUCCAGUUUAUAUCCAUCAAGCAUGUUAGCAGUAUUGAAUCUGAUCACUGUUUUGUGUUGGCCGAACUGAAGUCUGUUGAUACAAGCAGGUGGUCUAAGGCAACUCGUACAUUCACGUACGGAAAUGUUUGGCAGACUCAUGCACAGUAUGACAAAAUUGUCCGUGACACGUGGCAUGCAGGGUCUGGCCAAGAAGGUGACCAGAAUACAGGGUAUUUCCAAGCACAAGCUGCCCAGCGGAAGAGACUUAACCGCAUUGAUCAGUUGCAAAGAGCGGAUGGGGUCAUGUGCAUGGGUCCAUUAGAUGUGAAAAAUGAAAUCAGUAGCUUCUAUCAAGCACUAUAUCAAACACAGGGCUUCAGGCCCAUGCAUGAGCUACUUGACUGUGUUGUUCCGAAAGUUACAGAAACCAUGAAUGAGCAUGUAGAGAAAGAGUAUGUAGCCGAGGAAGUUAAACGGGCGCUAUUUGACAUGGCACCAUCGAAAGCACCGGGUGUUGAUGGUUUCACUGUCGGGUUUUACCAACGGCACUGGGACAUCCUCCGUGCAGAUAUUACACAAGCUAUACUGGAUUUUCUUAAUGGUGGCGAGUUACCUGAGGGCCUAAAUGACACUGCGAUUACACUCAUACCCAAGGUAAGGCACCCACAGAAGAUUUCGCAUGAAAAUAUCCCAAGUGCAGAAAGACUCAACAAAAUCCUUCGGAUCUAUGCUGAUUGCUCUGGUCAAGCAGUGAACCGGGAGAAAAGCUCCAUAUUCUUUAGUGGGAACACGUCGGCACCAAUUCGGGCAGCCCUGAAGAAUACACUUGGCAUUACCGUAGAGGCGUUCUCUGAACGCUACCUGGGCCUACCGACAGCGGUGGGGCGAGUUACGAGUGGGACUUUUGAUCACAUCAUUGAGAGAAGCCGAGGAAAGAUGCGGGGAUGGUCGGAAAGAACUCUAGCCUGCGCUGCUAGAGAAGUUCUAUUGAAAUCAAAUAUCCAAUCUAUCCCCACUUUCAGUAUGAGCUGCUUCUUCCUCACAAAGAAGAGUCUUGAAAGGGAAAUACUUCCCGAAUACGGACUUUCUUCAAGCGACAUCACCGACGAGAUCUUCGGCCACAUGGAAAGCUAUUGUCGCUGGGAGGAAUGCCUUGGAGACUGGGUUGAUACACAUGAUCGGGGAUGGCACCUCAAUCUCGAUCUGUCGGAUUCUGAGGCCAUUCUCAACAUUCCCCUCAAUCCAGCUGGAGGCGAGGACACUAUUGCAUGGGCCUUCGAAAAAUCUGGCAUCUACAUGGUUAAAUCGGCGUACCGCUCUCUGAUGACUUGCAACGAGCCUAGUUCUCCAGAGGAAGGGACGGCUACUGAACCUUUAACAGCAAAUAAAGCUGUGUGGACAGCGCUAUGGAAGCUACAUGUGAUACCAAGAGUCCGAGUUUUUUGGUGGAGAGUUCUUCGUGGAAUUCUACCAGACUCAGCGACGCUGCAGCAUAGACACAUUAAACAGACUGGUCUGUGCGAGUUCUGCAAGGCCAUGAAUGAGGACUUGAUGCAUGCAUUGGUUCUCUGUAGCCAUGCACAAGGUUUCUGGAGGGCCGAACAUGAUAGAUUCAAAUUACGGCUUCCACAACUAAACCCAACUACUUGGGCCAAGGAUAUCUUGCUCGAUCACAUGUUCUCGGAUGAGGAACGGUGCAUGGUUAUAUCUAUUAUGCAUGCUAUUUGGACGUCUCGCAAUCGAUGGACACAUGACAAAGAUGGAUAUGAUCCGGUGCAGGCUCUGAAAUGGGUGCAUGAAACACUCUCACUAUUGGAAUUACCGGCGAGAGGAAACAAAAACACUGCUAGUCAGUGUUGGCGACCACCGGAUCCAGGGUGGAUCACUAUCAACACCGACGGUUUGUUAAACAUCAAUGAGCGUAAGGGUGGAGCGAGGGGCGUGGCCCGCUCCCAUCUUGCUUUCCUGGGAGCGUGGAGCAAGCCACUACCCGGCAUCACAGACCCUUUCAUUGUUGAACUUAUGGCAUUCCGGGAGGGGGUGAUCUUUGCACAACUCCGAGGUUUUUCCCAUGUUACCAUGGAGGUUGACUGCUUGGAGCUAGUCAACCUUUGGCAGUCGCGCCGUGAUUCCCGCUCAGUUGCAGCGCCUAUCCUGAAUAUCCUGAACAUAGAGGAGAUCGUAUCUAGCUUCAUUUCCUUUUCUGUUACCCAUGUCGGGAGAUCCUUUAAUGUCCCUGCUCACACUUGUGCCCAGUGUGCCUGUACGCUGGAUGGGACAGAGAGCUAG
Molecule: ribosomal RNA, 2274 nt
Filed under: Triticum aestivum (bread wheat)
Lineage: Eukaryota; Viridiplantae; Streptophyta; Magnoliopsida; Poales; Poaceae
Description: partial small subunit ribosomal RNA
Source: RNAcentral